Molecule: ribosomal RNA, 975 nt
Filed under: uncultured prokaryote
Description: bacterial SSU rRNA
Rfam family: Bacterial small subunit ribosomal RNA
Source: RNAcentral
CGCUACCAUGCAGUCGACGGUGAGCAGGAGCUUGCUCUUGUGGAUCAGUGGCGAACGGGUGAGUAACACGUGAGCAACCUGCCCCUGACUCUGGGAUAAGCGCUGGAAACGGCGUCUAAUACUGGAUAUGUGACGUGACCGCAUGGUCUGCGUUUGGAAAGAUUUUUCGGUUGGGGAUGGGCUCGCGGCCUAUCAGCUUGUUGGUGAGGUAAUGGCUCACCAAGGCGUCGACGGGUAGCCGGCCUGAGAGGGUGACCGGCCACACUGGGACUGAGACACGGCCCAGACUCCUACGGGAGGCAGCAGUGGGGAAUAUUGCACAAUGGGCGAAAGCCUGAUGCAGCAACGCCGCGUGAGGGAUGACGGCCUUCGGGUUGUAAACCUCUUUUAGCAGGGAAGAAGCGAAAGUGACGGUACCUGCAGAAAAAGCGCCGGCUAACUACGUGCCAGCAGCCGCGGUAAUACGUAGGGCGCAAGCGUUAUCCGGAAUUAUUGGGCGUAAAGAGCUCGUAGGCGGUUUGUCGCGUCUGCUGUGAAAUCCCGAGGCUCAACCUCGGGCCUGCAGUGGGUACGGGCAGACUAGAGUGCGGUAGGGGAGAUUGGAAUUCCUGGUGUAGCGGUGGAAUGCGCAGAUAUCAGGAGGAACACCGAUGGCGAAGGCAGAUCUCUGGGCCGUAACUGACGCUGAGGAGCGAAAGGGUGGGGAGCAAACAGGCUUAGAUACCCUGGUAGUCCACCCCGUAAACGUUGGGAACUAGUUGUGGGGUCCAUUCCACGGAUUCCGUGACGCAGCUAACGCAUUAAGUUCCCCGCCUGGGGAGUACGGCCGCAAGGCUAAAACUCAAAGGAAUUGACGGGGACCCGCACAAGCGGCGGAGCAUGCGGAUUAAUUCGAUGCAACGCGAAGAACCUUACCAAGGCUUGACAUAUACGAGAACGGGCCAGAAUGGUCAACUCUUUGGACACUCGUAAACA